ACGGGAGGCAGCAGUGGGGAAUAUUGGGCAAUGGGCGCAAGCCUGACCCUGCAACGCCGCGUGAAGGAAGAAGGCUUUCGGGUUGUAAACUUCUUUUAUCAGGGACGAAACAAAUGACGGUACCUGAAGAAUAAGCCACGGCUAACUACGUGCCAGCAGCCGCGGUAAUACGUAGGUGGCAGCGUUGUCCGGAUUUACUGGGUGUAAAGGGCGCGUAGGCGGGAUGACAAGUCAGGUGUGAAAUCUAUGGGCUUAACCCAUAAACUGCACUUGAAACUGCCAUUCUUGAGUGUCGGAGAGGUAGAUGGAAUUCCUAGUGUAGCGGUGAAAUGCGUAGAUAUUAGGAGGAACACCAGUGGCGAAGGCGAUCUACUGGACGAUAACUGACGCUGAGGCGCGAAAGCGUGGGGAGCAAACAGGAUUAGAUACCCUGGUA
This 436-nucleotide ribosomal RNA is filed under the name uncultured Oscillospiraceae bacterium. RNAcentral's name for it is "bacterial SSU rRNA". It matches the Rfam family "Bacterial small subunit ribosomal RNA", at positions 341 to 792 of the family's 1533-position model. The record is from RNAcentral. Lineage: Bacteria; Bacillati; Bacillota; Clostridia; Eubacteriales; Oscillospiraceae.